This is a small nuclear RNA of Marmota marmota marmota (Alpine marmot), 104 nucleotides long. Lineage: Eukaryota; Metazoa; Chordata; Mammalia; Rodentia; Sciuridae. The record is from Ensembl.
GUGCUCACAUGGGCAGCACCUAUACUAAAAUUGAAAUUAUACAGAGAUUAGCAUGGCCCCUGUGCAAGAAUGACAUGCAAAUUCAUGAAGCAUUUAACAUUAAA